Brassica oleracea var. oleracea is the source of this 584-nucleotide long non-coding RNA. RefSeq lists it as uncharacterized. The record is from RefSeq and is a predicted model, not a curated record. The transcript has 2 exons. NCBI's taxonomy places the organism in Eukaryota, Viridiplantae, Streptophyta, Magnoliopsida, Brassicales, Brassicaceae.
CUUCGGGGUCGCAGAAGAGGCCUUGGGAGCAGACUGGAGCACCCCGUUGUGGGCGUUGUCGUCGCCACCAUUUUGGGGAAUGUUUCCAGUGCUAUAAUUGCGAUCAGUUUGGGCAUCUUGCGAAGAACUGUAGGAAGCCACCACGAACUCAGGUUGCAACACCAGCAGCAGCAGUAGCACCAGCAGUGGCAACGAGGAACUGUUACGGCUGCAACCAGCCGGGUCACAUAUACAGAAGAUUGUCCGAGGAGAGGCAAUGCGGCACUUCCACCACCACCGAAGCGUCUAGCCAUCGCUCCACGUGUCUUUGCAGUUGGAGAUCCCCAGGGAGCUGAGCCGAUAUCGGGUGAGACCGAUGAGCAGGAGUGAUUUUUCGGACCGGUGCUAUUGGGCUUUUGGGCUUCUAUCGUUUUAUCGAUUUUAUCGUUAUCGGGCCUCUAGGCCUUUGGACUUUUAUCGUUAUGGUAUUUCGUAUUUUGGAUUCUCGGUUUAUGUCGUACCUUAUGUUUCGGAUUUUAUUUUAUAUUAUGGAAUUCAUGCGUGGAUGUGGACUUUCAAAUAUUUAUAUAUGGAUAUUUAAGAUA